GUCGAGGAUCUUCGGCAAUGGGCGCAAGCCUGACCGAGCGACGCCGCGUGUGCGAUGAAGGCCUUCGGGUUGUAAAGCACUGUCGAGGGGGAGGAAAGCCGCAAGGCUUGACCUAUCCCUGGAGGAAGCACGGGCUAAGUUCGUGCCAGCAGCCGCGGUAAGACGAACCGUGCGAACGUUGUUCGGAAUCACUGGGCUUAAAGGGCGCGUAGGCGGUUGAUCAAGUCUGGGGUGAAAUCUUUCGGCUUAACCGGAAAAGUGCCUUGGAUACUGGUCAGCUGGAGGGAGGUAGGGGCAGUUGGAACUUCCAGUGGAGCGGUGAAAUGCGUUGAUAUUGGAAGGAACGCCGGUGGCGAAAGCGAGCUGCUGGACCUCUUCUGACGCUGAUGCGCGAAAGCUAGGGGAGCAAACGGGAUUAGAAACCCGGGUAGUCC
RNAcentral lists this ribosomal RNA (434 nucleotides) under uncultured bacterium. RNAcentral describes it as "bacterial SSU rRNA". It matches the Rfam family "Bacterial small subunit ribosomal RNA", at positions 354 to 796 of the family's 1533-position model. The record is from RNAcentral.